CAAGCGGUGGAGCAUGUGGUUUUAAUUCGAUGCAAACGCGAAGAACCUUACCUACUCUCGACAUCCAGAGAACUUUCCAGAGAUGGAUUUGGUGCCUUUCGGGAACUCUGAGACAGGUGCUGCAUGGCUGUCGUCAGCUCGUGUUGUGAAAUGUUGGGUUAAGUCCCGCAACGAGCGCAACCCUUAUCCUUGUUUGCCAGCACGUAAUGGUGGGAACUCCAGGGAGACUGCCGGUGAUAAACCGGAGGAAGGUGGGGACGACGUCAAGUCAUCAUGGCCCUUACGAGUAGGGCUACACACGUGCUACAAUGGCGUAUACAGAGGGCUGCCAACUAGCGAUAGUGAGCGAAUCCCAGAAAGUACGUCGUAGUCCGGAUUGGAGUCUGCAACUCGACUCCAUGAAGUCGGAAUCGCUAGUAAUCGUGAAUCAGAAUGUCACGGUGAAUACGUUCCCGGGCCUUGUACACACCGCCCGUCACACCAUGGGAGUGGGCUGCACCAGAAGUAGAUAGCUUAACCUUCGGGAGGGCGUUUACCACGGUGUGGUUCAUGGCUGGGGUGAAGUCGUAACAAGGUAACCAGAGGG
Molecule: ribosomal RNA, 586 nt
Filed under: uncultured Photobacterium sp.
Lineage: Bacteria; Pseudomonadati; Pseudomonadota; Gammaproteobacteria; Vibrionales; Vibrionaceae
Description: bacterial SSU rRNA
Rfam family: Bacterial small subunit ribosomal RNA
Source: RNAcentral